CUUAGAAGCAGCCAUCAUUUAAAGAAAGCGUAAUAGCUCACUGGUCGAGUCGGCCUGCGCGGAAGAUGUAACGGGGCUAAACCAUGCACCGAAGCUGCGGCAGCGACACUGUGUGUUGUUGGGUAGGGGAGCGUUCUGUAAGCCUGUGAAGGUGUGCUGUGAGGCAUGCUGGAGGUAUCAGAAGUGCGAAUGCUGACAUAAGUAACGAUAAAGCGGGUGAAAAGCCCGCUCGCCGGAAGACCAAGGGUUCCUGUCCAACGUUAAUCGGGGCAGGGUGAGUCGACCCCUAAGGCGAGGCCGAAAGGCGUAGUCGAUGGGAAACAGGUUAAUAUUCCUGUACUUGGUGUUACUGCGAAGGGGGGACGGAGAAGGCUAUGUUGGCCGGGCGACGGUUGUCCCGGUUUAAGCGUGUAGGCUGGUUUUCCAGGCAAAUCCGGAAAAUCAAGGCUGAGGCGUGAUGACGAGGCACUACGGUGCUGAAGCAACAAAUGCCCUGCUUCCAGGAAAAGCCUCUAAGCAUCAGGUAACAUCAAAUCGUACCCCAAACCGACACAGGUGGUCAGGUAGAGAAUACCAAGGCGCUUGAGAGAACUCGGGUGAAGGAACUAGGCAAAAUGGUGCCGUAACUUCGGGAGAAGGCACGCUGAUAUGUAGGUGAAGUCCCUCGCGGAUGGAGCUGAAAUCAGUCGAAGAUACCAGCUGGCUGCAACUGUUUAUUAAAAACACAGCACUGUGCAAACACGAAAGUGGACGUAUACGGUGUGACGCCUGCCCGGUGCCGGAAGGUUAAUUGAUGGGGUCAGCGCAAGCGAAGCUCUUGAUCGAAGCCCCGGUAAACGGCGGCCGUAACUAUAACGGUCCUAAGGUAGCGAAAUUCCUUGUCGGGUAAGUUCCGACCUGCACGAAUGGCGUAAUGAUGGCCAGGCUGUCUCCACCCGAGACUCAGUGAAAUUGAACUCGCUGUGAAGAUGCAGUGUACCCGCGGCAAGACGGAAAGACCCCGUGAACCUUUACUAUAGCUUGACACUGAACAUUGAGCCUUGAUGUGUAGGAUAGGUGGGAGGCUUUGAAGUGUGGACGCCAGUCUGCAUGGAGCCGACCUUGAAAUACCACCCUUUAAUGUUUGAUGUUCUAACGUGGACCCGUGAUCCGGGUUGCGGACAGUGUCUGGUGGGUAGUUUGACUGGGGCGGUCUCCUCCUAAAGAGUAACGGAGGAGCACGAAGGUUGGCUAAUCCUGGUCGGACAUCAGGAGGUUAGUGCAAUGGCAUAAGCCAGCUUGACUGCGAGCGUGACGGCGCGAGCAGGUGCGAAAGCAGGUCAUAGUGAUCCGGUGGUUCUGAAUGGAAGGGCCAUCGCUCAACGGAUAAAAGGUACUCCGGGGAUAACAGGCUGAUACCGCCCAAGAGUUCAUAUCGACGGCGGUGUUUGGCACCUCGAUGUCGGCUCAUCACAUCCUGGGGCUGAAGUAGGUCCCAAGGGUAUGGCUGUUCGCCAUUUAAAGUGGUACGCGAGCUGGGUUUAGAACGUCGUGAGACAGUUCGGUCCCUAUCUGCCGUGGGCGCUGGAGAACUGAGGGGGGCUGCUCCUAGUACGAGAGGACCGGAGUGGACGCAUCACUGGUGUUCGGGUUGUCAUGCCAAUGGCACUGCCCGGUAGCUAAAUGCGGAAGAGAUAAGUGCUGAAAGCAUCUAAGCACGAAACUUGCCCCGAGAUGAGUUCUCCCUGACCCUUUAAGGGUCCUGAAGGAACGUUGAAGACGACGACGUUGAUAGGCCGGGUGUGUAAGCGCAGCGAUGCGUUGAGCUAACCGGUACUAAUGAACCGUGAGGCUUAACCUUACAACGCCGAAGGUGUUU
This 1858-nucleotide ribosomal RNA is filed under the name Escherichia coli. RNAcentral describes it as "partial 23S ribosomal RNA". It matches the Rfam family "Bacterial large subunit ribosomal RNA", at positions 1105 to 2925 of the family's 2925-position model. Lineage: Bacteria; Pseudomonadati; Pseudomonadota; Gammaproteobacteria; Enterobacterales; Enterobacteriaceae. The record is from RNAcentral.